GUUCAUCUUUGCCUAGAUCCUGACUAGUCUCCCAGUCCCUGCCGCUGAAAAACAUCCCCACAGCCACUGGUGUAAAGUACUUAGGUGGACUCCAAUCAAGAUGUAGAAACAUCUCAAGGAUGAUCAAUGGAAACAGGAUGCACCUAAGCUCAAUUGAGUGUCAUAGCAAAGGGUCUGAAUACUUACGUAAAAGGCCCUCCUACAAUCAGGUCAACGCCAUAGAGCUGAAUAUGGUACUGUAGGCAAGCUAAGCGUUUCUACAGGUGGCACUACCCUGCUGGGAAAGGAACUCCUGUACUUUGAGAAACAUCUGUAUUUGUAAGAGGGCAAUUCUACUGUAUAUGUCAUUGAACAGUAAAUUCAUUUUUUAUUUUUGACAAUAGACACACAUUUAUGGUAGAGUCCCUUGCCAACCCAUGGCGCUGGGCUUGACUCCUUUUCCAGAUGGAUGCACAGCAACUGUUGCUCCAGCCCAGCCUUAGCUGUAGAUGCUUAAUACACACACUAACUGAGUCACUCAGGUAUCAAGUGUUUGUCAAGAAAGUGUAUCCCCUUUUUGCUGUCAAGUAGCAGAGUGGCGCAGAGGGAAAUUGUCUGCAGAUUUAGGUAGGUGGGUAGGUGUUUUAUGUAUUCUAUCAUAAGCAGAUGUUUCAGCAAACACAAAAACGGUAAUGCAGAGAGGAUUAGAAGCAUAUAAACUAUGUUACUCACCAAUGCAACAGUAGUAAAUAGUCAACACUUAAAUCACCACCAUGUGCUGCUAUACAAAGCAGCAUGUUGACUUCUCCUUGUGGAUUGAGUAUUCUAAGAGAGUCAAAGUUCACAUUUGCAUUUCCAUUUGUUUUCAGGUAUUAAGCAAGGGAAAAUCCACCUUUACUUUGAACUCAAACCUCCAUUUUAUGUGCCGGCUUCGUAAUGGGGAUUUUAAUGAUGAAUAUAACCCUUUUUUAAUGGGGAAAAUAUGGAAAGCUGCCUCGAUCUAGCCAGGGGCCAUAAAAUGAGAUUAGCUUGUGGCAACCCUUGUUCAGGCUUUCAUCGGUAAUUAGUCUGUGUCAUGGAAAACAGUGUCUUUAGGAAACGCCCUCUGCACACUCCACAGGUUGAAAAUCAGGCACCUAUUAAAGAAUUUGUGACAUUUUGGAGACGGUCUCAGUAACACUUUCCCUUGUUAGCGUGGAAACAUUCUUAUGCAUUUGACAUAUUUCAAGCUAUUGAUGCUGUCUGGCAGCACUGAUCUUUCAGAGAGUCAAGGGUGUGCUUUUAAUACAGCGGCACCAACAUCAAUGUGAGUGAUAAGUGACAGUGUAGACAGAAUUGAUCCACUGUUCUGCGCUCUGAUGAAUAGGUCUGGAAUGGAAACAGAAACUCCAACUGGGACUCCAUGGUUCACAUACUGUUGAGAGAACAGAGCGGAAACUAGACGGCCAUUAUAAGCUAC
This 1438-nucleotide long non-coding RNA is filed under the name Salmo salar (Atlantic salmon). RNAcentral's name for it is "lncRNA (ENSSSAG00000084552.1)". Lineage: Eukaryota; Metazoa; Chordata; Actinopteri; Salmoniformes; Salmonidae. The record is from RNAcentral.